Molecule: ribosomal RNA, 288 nt
Filed under: uncultured Porphyrobacter sp.
Lineage: Bacteria; Pseudomonadati; Pseudomonadota; Alphaproteobacteria; Sphingomonadales; Erythrobacteraceae
Description: partial 16S ribosomal RNA
Rfam family: Bacterial small subunit ribosomal RNA
Source: RNAcentral
CGAGCGCAACCCUCGUCCUUAGUUGUCCAUCAUUAAGUUGGGCACUUUAAGGAAACUGCCGGUGAUAAGCCGGAGGAAGGUGGGGAGUGACGUCAAGUCCUCAUGGCCUUACAGGCUGGGCUACACACGUGCUACAAUGGCAUCUACAGUGGGCAGCUAUUCCGCAAGGAUGCGCUAAUCUCCAAAAGAUGUCUCAGUUCGGAUUGUCCUCUGCAACUCGAGGGCAUGAAGGCGGAAUCGCUAGUAAUCGCGGAUCAGCAUGCCGCGGUGAAUACGUUCCCAGGCCUU